Molecule: ribosomal RNA, 3004 nt
Filed under: Candidatus Glomeribacter gigasporarum
Lineage: Bacteria; Pseudomonadati; Pseudomonadota; Betaproteobacteria; Burkholderiales; Burkholderiaceae
Description: bacterial LSU rRNA
Rfam family: Bacterial large subunit ribosomal RNA
Source: RNAcentral
UCAAGCGAUUAAGUGCAUGGGGUGGAUGCCUUGGCGGUCACAGGCGAAGAAGGACGUGCAAGCCUGCGAAAAGCUCCGGGGAGCGGGUAAAGGCGCAUUGAUCCGGAGAUAUCCGAAUGGGGAAACCCGGCCCAGUUGGGUCAUUCUUGACUGAAUCCAUAGGUCAAGCGAAGCGAACGCGGUGAACUGAAACAUCUCAGUAACCGCAGGAAGAGAAAUCAACCGAGAUUCCCAAAGUAGUGGCGAGCGAAAUGGGAAGAGCCAGUAUUCUUUAGCACAAGGGUUAGCAGAAUGGACUGGAAGGUCUGGCCAUAGAAGGUGAGAGCCCGGUAUGUGAAAACCGUUGUGUGGAACUAGGGAUACGAGAAGUAGGGCGGGACACGUGAAAUCCUGUCUGAAGAUGGGGGGACCAUCCUCCAAGGCUAAAUACUCGUGACCGACCGAUAGUGCACUAGUACCGUGAGGGAAAGGCGAAAAGAACCCCGGGAGGGGAGUGAAAUAGAACCUGAAACCGCAUGCAUACAAACAGUAGGAGCCCCUGCUUUAAUGGCCUUCAGUUCUUUGUAGUUGCCGCUUUGCGGCAGCUACAAAGAAAACGAGAAGGGGUGAAAUGAAAGCCUUGUGCUAGAGGCUGAGAACAAGGUGAGGGUCAUUAAAGCAGGGGUGACUGCGUACCUUUUGUAUAAUGGGUCAGCGACUUACGUUCAGUAGCAAGCUUAACCGUUUAGGGGAGGCAUAGCGAAAGCGAGUCCGAAUAGGGCGAUUGAGUUUCUGGGCGUAGACCCGAAACCAGGUGAUCUAUCCAUGGCCAGGUUGAAAGUGCGGUAACACGUACUGGAGGACCGAACCCACUACUGUUGCAAAAGUAGGGGAUGAGCGGUGGAUAGGAGUGAAAGGCUAAACAAACCUGGAAAUAGCUGGUUCUCUCCGAAAACUAUUGAGGUAGUGCCUCGUGUGUGACCUUUGGGGGUAGAGCACUGUCAUGGUUGGGGGGUCCAUUGUGGAUUACCUCGCCAUAGCAAACUCCGAAUACCAAAGAGUGGAAUCACGGGAGACAGACAUCGGGUGCUAACGUCCGGUGUCAAGAGGGCAACAACCCAGACCGCCAGCUAAGGUCCCGAAGAUUGGCUCAGUGGGGAACGUAGUGGGAAGGCUCAGACAGUCAGGAGGUUGGCUUAGAAGCAGCCAUCCUUUAAAGAAAGCGUAAUAGCUCACUGAUCGAGUCGUCCUGCGCGGAAGAUGUAACGGGGCUUAAGCCAGUCACCGAAGCUGCGGGUAUCAGAGAACUCCUCUGAUACGGUAGGAGAGCGUUCCGUAGGCCUGUGAAGGUGCAUUGAGAAAUGUACUGGAGGUAUCGGAAGUGCGAAUGCUGACAUGAGUAACGUUAAAGGGGGUGAAGUGCCCCCUCGCCGUAAGCCCAAGGUUUCCUGCGCAACGUUCAUCGGCGCAGGGUGAGUCGGCCCCUAAGGCGAGGCAGAAAUGCGUAGCUGAUGGGAAGCAGGUGAAGAUUCCUGCACCGUCGUAAGAAUGCGAUGGGGGGACGGAUCGCGGAAGGUUGUCCGGGGGUUGGAAGUCCCGGUCCCUGCAUUGGAGAAGGCGCUUAGGCAAAUCCGGGCGCGCAAUUCAAGGGUGCGAGGCGAGCGAACUUCGGUUUGCGAAGCAAUCGGAAGGGGUUCCAAGAAAAGCCUCUAAGCGAAAGUCUUACGAGACCGUACCGCAAACCGACACAGGUGGGCGGGAUGAGUAUUCUUAGGCGCUUGAGAGAACUCGGGAGAAGGAACUCGGCAAAUUGGACCCGUAACUUCGGGAGAAGGGUCACCCAAGUAAACUUGAACAGCCGGCGCUGUGAGGGAGAACGGGUUGCAAUAAAAAGGUGGCUGCGACUGUUUAAUAAAAACACAGCACUCUGCCAACACGGAAGUGGACGUAUAGGGUGUGACGCCUGCCCAGUGCCGGAAGAUUAAAUGAAGGCGUGCAAGCGCUGGAUUGAAGUCCCGGUAAACGGCGGCCGUAACUAUAACGGUCCUAAGGUAGCGAAAUUCCUUGUCGGGUAAGUUCCGACCUGCACGAAUGGCGUAACGAUGGCCACACUGUCUCCUCCCGAGACUCAGUGAAGUUGAAAUGGUUGUGAUGAUGCAAUCUACCCGCGGCUAGACGGAAAGACCCCAUGAACCUUUACUGUAGCUUUGCAUUGGACUGUGAACCGGUUUGUGUAGGAUAGGUGGGAGGCGAAGAAGUCGGAACGCUAGUUUCGAUGGAGCCGUCGUUGAAAUACCACCCUGAUCUGUUUGCGGUUCUAACCUAGUCCCGUGGACCGGGUCGGGAACCGUGCAUGGUAGGCAGUUUGACUGGGGCGGUCUCCUCCUAAAGGGUAACGGAGGAGCGCGAAGGUACGCUAGGUACGGUCGGAAAUCGUAUCGAUAGUGCAAUGGCAAAAGCGUGCUUGACUGCGAGACGGACAUGUCGAGCAGGUGCGAAAGCAGGUCAUAGUGAUCUGGUGGUUCUGUAUGGAAGGGCCAUCACUCAACGGAUAAAAGGUACUCUGGGGAUAACAGGCUCAUACCGCCCAAGAGUUCAUAUCGACGGCGGUGUUUGGCACCUCGAUGUCGGCUCAUCUCAUCCUGGGGCUGUAGCCGGUCCCAAGGGUAUGGCUGUUCGCCAUUUAAAGAGGUACGUGAGCUGGGUUUAAAACGUCGUGAGACAGUUUGGUCCCUAUCUGCCGUGGGCGCUGGAAGUUUGAGAGGGGCUGCGCCUAGUACGAGAGGACCGGCGUGGACGCACCUCUGGUGUACCGGUUGUCACGCCCGUGGCAUCGCCGGGUAGCUAAGUGCGGAAGAGAUAACCGCUGAAAGCAUCUAAGCGGGAAACUCGCCUCAAGAUGAGACUUCCCUGACACGCAAGUGUCCUGAAGGGUCGUUCAAGACCAGAACGUCAAUAGGCGGGAUGUGGAAACGCAGUAAUGCGUUGAGCUAACCCGUACUAAUCGCCCGUGUGGCUUGACCCU